Molecule: RNase P RNA, 385 nt
Filed under: Flavihumibacter soli
Lineage: Bacteria; Pseudomonadati; Bacteroidota; Chitinophagia; Chitinophagales; Chitinophagaceae
Description: RNase P RNA component class A
Rfam family: Bacterial RNase P class A
About the family: Ribonuclease P (RNase P) is a ubiquitous endoribonuclease, found in archaea, bacteria and eukarya as well as chloroplasts and mitochondria. Its best characterised activity is the generation of mature 5'-ends of tRNAs by cleaving the 5'-leader elements of precursor-tRNAs.
Source: RNAcentral
UAAGCAAGCCGUUCUAUCGCUGUCCAUCUACAAUGGAGAGAGGAAAGUCCGGGCAACACAGAGCAUCCUGCUUCCUAACGGGAAGGGACCAGCUAUCCUGAGUCAAACGAAGGAGCGGGUAACGGAAAGUGCCACAGAAAAUAAACUACCCUGUGAAAACGGGGCAAAGGUGAAAACGUGAGGUAAGAGCUCACGGUUCCCGAUGGCGACAUCGGGGGCGGUAAACCCCAGGAGUUGAAAGACCAAAUAGGCUAACGCACGUAGGGCUGCUCGUCCGAUGUUAGUGGGUAGGUCGUUAGAUCCCGGCAGCAAUGCCGGGACUGGAUAAAUGAUAGAAUCCCGAUUUUAUCGGGAACAGAACCCGGCUUACAGGCUUGCUUUUUUA